UGUAGAGGCUGGAAUGUCCAAAAUCUGCAGGGCGGGCUGUCAAGCUGAGGACCCAGAGAAAAGCUGACAAUGCGGCUCAAGUCUGAAGGCAGGCUGGCAGCAGAAUUCCCGCUUUCUCAGGGCACCAUCUUUUUUCUCUUAAGGCUCUCAACUGACUGGAUGAGGCCCGCGCAUUAUGGAGGCACUUGAACUUUAUCAUGCCAUUUAUUUCUGUCCUUCAUGGUUUAUGAUGAGAAAUAUGCUGUCAACCAAAUCUUUGUUUCCCUAGAGUGCUGUGGGACUACUGACCUCUUCAAGAUGCUAUCGCUCCCAUCACACUGUUCUCCAAAAGUUCGUAAGGUUGGAUGGUGGAGAGAAGGAAAUGUUCUCCUUGCUGCUCAAACCCCUGGUGGGCAACAGCAGUCCAGAGAUGAAGCUGCAAAUUCAAGAUUUUACUGAAUGUUCUGCUAUAAAGGAAGUCAGACAACAUAAAUACUAAUUUAAAUUGUUACCAAAUAUAAUUAUUCUUAAAGCUUACAUGUCAAGUUACAUCCUCAGAUUGCUUUAAAGACGUUUCCUGUCUACUGCUCAGUCUUCUUCCAAUUGGUUGGACCCCUUCCUCACACCAUAUACAAAAUUAAUUUGACAUGGACCAUAUACCUAAACAUAAAAGCUAAACUAUGAAGAUUUUGAAAGAAAAUACAUAGAAUAUCUUUGCAAACUUAGAACAAGCAAAGACUUCUUAAAGAUAACACAAGCAAUUCAAACUACUGAAGAAAAAAAAGAUAAAUUGGAUUUAUCAAAAUUAAACAUGUCUACUCAUCAGAAAAUAAUACUAUUUAGAAAAUUAAAAAUUCAAUAAACUGGGGAAAAUAUGUGCAAUACAGAUAUCUGACAAAGGAAUUUAUCUAAAAUUUGUAAAGAAUUCCUAUAACUGAUAACAAAAAGUCAAAUAACCCAAUUUUAAAUGAGCAAACCUUUAAUAGACAUUUCACAAA
This 977-nucleotide long non-coding RNA is filed under the name Equus asinus (donkey). Its description in RNAcentral is "lncRNA (ENSEASG00005024740.1)". Lineage: Eukaryota; Metazoa; Chordata; Mammalia; Perissodactyla; Equidae. The record is from RNAcentral.